GUAUARAUUAUKCUGUAGGGUUGGCCAAUGCSWUGUMCGACUAUUGCCGUAAUGGCUCGCMGGCCGGUUUAUUAMGUCUGAUKUGAAAGCYCCCGGCUCAAUCCGGSGAGGUCAUGGUAAACUGGGAACUUGAGUGCAGAAGAGGAGAGUSGAAUUCCACGUGUAGCGGUGAAAUGCGUAGAGAUGUGGAGGMAACACCAGUGGMGAAGGYGACUCUCUGGUCUGUAACUGACGCUGAGGAGCGAAAGCGUGGGGAGCKAACAKGAUUAGAUACCGUGGUAGUCCACGCCGUAAAMGAUGAGUGCUAAGUGUUAGGGKGYUUCCKCCUCUUAGUGMUGCAGSUAACGCAUUAAGCACUCCGCCUGGGGAGUACGGUCGCAAGAYUGAAACUCAAAGGAAUUGACGGGGGCCCGCACAAGCGGUGGAGCAUGUGKUUUAAUUMGAAGCAACGCGAAGAACCUUACCAGGUCUUGACAUCCUMUGACAAUCCUAGAGAUAGGAYGUCCCCUUYGGGGGCAGAGUGACAGGUGGUGCAUGGUUGUYGUCAGCUCGUGUCGUGAGAUGUUGGKYUAAGUCCCGCAACGAGCGCAACCCUUGAUCUUAGUUGCCAGCAUUCAGUUGGGCACUSUAAGGUGACUGCCGGUGACAAACCGGAGGAAGGUGGGGAUGACGUCAAAUCAUCAUGCCCCUUAUGACCUGGGCUACACACGUGCUACAAUGGACAGAACAAAGGGCAGCGAAACCGCGAGGUUAAGCCAAUCCCACAAAUCUGUUCUCAGUUCGGAUCGCAGUCUGCAACUMGACUGSGUGAAGCUGGAAUCGYUAGUAAUCGSGGAUCAGCAUGCCGCGGUGAAUACGUUCCCGGGCCUUGUACACACCGCCYGUCACACCASGAGAGUUUGUAACACCSGAAGUMGGUGAGGUAACCUUUAGGAGCCAGCURCUAGAAGGGGUWACCAKYYCACCUG
Molecule: ribosomal RNA, 968 nt
Filed under: Bacillus sp. (in: firmicutes)
Lineage: Bacteria; Bacillati; Bacillota; Bacilli; Caryophanales; Bacillaceae
Description: Bacillus sp. (in: Bacteria) partial 16S ribosomal RNA
Source: RNAcentral